Molecule: long non-coding RNA, 1111 nt
Organism: Rattus norvegicus (Norway rat)
Lineage: Eukaryota; Metazoa; Chordata; Mammalia; Rodentia; Muridae
Gene: Lnc134
Product: long non-coding RNA 134
Source: Ensembl
AUAGGUUCUACCUAGGAGACUACUCAGACUACCCCAAAGACAAGGAGCUCAAUAUGAGAUAAAGAAGAGAGAGUGCAGCUACACCCUGAUGGCUAUGACAGAGCUAACUCUGCAACGAGGAAGCUACGAACUGUUUGUAUAUGUGUGGGACAAAGAAAACGUAGACUGAUCAGCAGCCAGCAAGACACCCGGAAGGUUGAAUACUGUGGGUUUGUUUUUUUUAAAUAGGUAUGGUCCGCAUAGACUCCUGUUUGCAUGCUUAGCCAUAGGGAAUGGCACUAUUAGGAGGUGUGGCCUUGUUAAGGGAAGUGUGUCACUGUGGAGGCAGGCCUUGAGGUUUCCUGUGAUCACACUGCACCCCCUGUGGCCACAGUCUCUCGCUGCCUGUGGAUCAAGAGGCAGUACCCUCAGCUCCUCCAGCCCCAUGCCUGCCUGCAUGCUGCCAUGCUUCUCACCAUGAUGACAAUGGACCGAACCUCUGAACUGGUGUUAUACAGUAUAUGCUGGUCUUGAAUUCACCAUGUAACUGAGGAUGACCCUAAACUUCUCAUCUUUCUGCGUUUACCUCCUCCGAAGUGCUGGAAUUACAAGCAUGUGCCACCAGGAUCAGUUUAUGCCAGUGCAAUGGAUUAAAUCCAGGACCCUGUGUUUCCUCUACUGAGCUAUACCCACAGCCAUGCAUUUUCAGUCAGGAAAAAAAAACAAAACAAAAACAGAAUUCCAGAAAUGAUGCAGGUGUUUGAGAAUGAUGGCGCCCUCCACUGGCCAACUUCAUGACCCAGUGACCUGAUUUGCUGGGCACUUACAGUCACAAGAGAUCAACCUGGGACAGUGCUCUAAGCUCACUGUCUAAUGCCAAUGAAGAUUACUGGUGUCGUGUCAUGUGGAGGUAGAAGCAGGCUUUAUUAAGAAUUAUUGCAUAAGGUUGGAGUGGUGGCUCAGCAAGAAUUAUACAUAGGAUUAGAGUAGUGGCUCAGAGGUUAAAAACAUUGGCUGCCCUUCCAGAGGUCCUGAGUUCAAUUCUCAGAAAUCACAUGGUGGCUCAGAACCAUCUAUAAUGAGAUCUGAUGCCCUCUUCUGGUGUAUCUGAAGACAGCUACAGUGUACAAAC